GACGAACGCUGGCGGCGUGCUUAACACAUGCAAGUCGAACGGAAAGGCCCUGCUUUUGUGGGGUGCUCGAGUGGCGAACGGGUGAGUAACACGGGAGUAACCUGCCCUUGACUUUGGGAUAACUUCAGGAAACUGGGGCUAAUACCGGAUAGGAGCUCCUGCUGCAUGGUGGGGGUUGGAAAGUUUCGGCGGUUGGGGAUGGACUCGCGGCUUAUCAGCUUGUUGGUGGGGUAGUGGCUUACCAAGGCUUUGACGGGUAGCCGGCCUGAGAUGGUGACCGGCCACAUUGGGACUGAGAUACGGCCCAGACUCCUACGGGAGGCAGCAGUGGGGAAUAUUGCACAAUGGGCGGAAGCCUGAUGCAGCAACGCCGCGUGCGGGAUGACGGCCUUCGGGUUGUAAACCGCUUUCGCCUGUGACGAAGCGUGAGUGACGGUAAUGGGUAAAGAAGCACCGGCUAACUACGUG
This 468-nucleotide ribosomal RNA is filed under the name uncultured bacterium. RNAcentral's name for it is "partial 16S ribosomal RNA". It matches the Rfam family "Bacterial small subunit ribosomal RNA", at positions 28 to 507 of the family's 1533-position model. The record is from RNAcentral.